CUCAAUUCCACUUUUGCCUCCAGUUCUCAGGGAUUAGACAACCCAAGGUACGUGAUCAGACUUUGUUUUGAUUUUAGAAGAUCGUGCUGGCUGCAAGCCGACUGAAGAGAUUAGAGUGAAUACAGGCCAGCCGGCAGGGGGGCCAUUGCGCCCGCCCAGGUGAGACAGGGCUGGAGCUGGUGAGAGAGAUGGAGAGAGGAGGAUGGAUUCAAGAGAUACUCAGAAGCAGACAGGCUACAGGAAAUAGCAGAUUGGGAGAGGAGUGGGAACAGGAGAAGCUGUCUUUGGCUCGGCUGGAAGGUGAAGGGAUUCCAGAUGCCGGUUCCUGGCUUGCUCCCCGCUCUCCAUUUGGCUUCAUCCUGGGGCUCUCUUCCUCCCCACAGAGGGGUGGUGGGCACUCUGUGCCACACCUCUCCUCUCUGGGAUCUCAGGUCUGUCCCUGAAACCUGCUGGUAGAAGAACCUCUAGAGUCCUUGCCUCCUUCCCACCGUGUGACCAUUGCCCAUUGGCACAUCUGUCAAGACACAGAUUUUUGGAAGAAAAAAGAAAGAGUGAAUGCUGCAGAGAUGGAUUGUUAAUUUUCCAAAUGAGAUAUGACUCUGAGAUCCCACCUACCCAGCUGGUAGGACGUUCCACCAUGCUCCCUAAGGUGGUUUGAGUGUUUGGAAUGACAAAGACUCUCUCAUCACCCUGAAACCUUAGUCCGGCGGCGCCUCUGAGUCUUCUGCUUGACGAGGCCUGACCUUGGGCUUCCCCAUGUCCUUUCAGAAUCCAGUUUGAGCAAGAAUCCUGCUAAGUCAGAUGGAGUCUCGCUCUGUCGCCCAGGCUGGAGUGCAGUGGUGCGAUCUCGGCUCACUACAAGCUCCGCCUCCUGGGUUCCCACUAUUCUCCUGCCUCAGCCUCCCAAGUAGCUGGGACUACAGGUGUCUGCCACCACGCCCAGCUAAUUUUUUGUAUUUUUAGUAGAGAUGGGGUUUCACCGUGUCAGCCAGGAUGGUCUCGGUCUCCUGACCUUGUGAUCCGCCUGCCUCGGCCUCCCAAAGUGCUGGGAUUACGGGCAUGAGCCACAGCGCUCAGCCCUAAUUUUUGUAUUUUUAGUAGAAAAGGGGUUUCACUAUGUUGGCCAUGCUGGUCUUGAAUUCCUGAACUCAGGUGAUCCGCCCACCUUGACCUCCCAAAAUGCUGGGAUUACAGGCAUGAGCCACCGCACCUGGUUUCUUAACAUUCUUUGCCACCUCCUCUGCUAUAUCUAUUUACUUUGUAUCCACCAGAUCGAAAGCUCAGGUCUAAUUCCCUGUACCUAGAAUAUUGCCUGUAGUGUAGUAGGCACUUAAGGUUUUGUUGAGUGAGAGAAUGAAUAAACAAACAGAAGGAUUUGCUUUUCAAACCAGAGCCUCCCUGCCUCCUGCUCUGCCUGCUAAGGAUCAGGAGGAGACAGCAGCUAAGGAAGGCAGUCCUGAAUUUUCCCUAGGGAUAGGGAGUAAGUGGGGGGAUCCCUGAGAAACGCUGGAAGCACCCACUCUGCUGCCAAGGCUGCGAGGAAAACAGGCCAGAGUAUCCUAACAGCCUCCACUCAGAAGGGGCCUGGAAACUUUUAACCAGACAAAAUAACAAAUGCAGUGGUUUAGGGCUUGGUGGGGCUUCCCACCCGUCCCACCCCUGUCCCACACACCUAGGCCCACAUUGAAUGCCCUCAGCACCUCCGGCUGCACAGGGGCCUGUUUUCCCUGACUCUGCUGCUGUUCACAGAACCAACUUCCUCCCACCCCACACAGACGCUCCCUUCCCAGAGCUCAUUGGGAACCUUCUGAUUUGCAUCUCCAAAGAAAUAAAAUAAAUUCCACUAAAUGCUG
RNAcentral lists this long non-coding RNA (1853 nucleotides) under Homo sapiens (human). RNAcentral's name for it is "HSALNT0297612". The record is from RNAcentral. Lineage: Eukaryota; Metazoa; Chordata; Mammalia; Primates; Hominidae.